AUACGAAGGGUGCGAGCGUUAAUCGGAAUUACUGGGCGUAAAGCGCGCGUAGGCGGUUUGCUAAGUCAGAUGUGAAAGCCCCGGGCUUAACCUGGGAACUGCAUUUGAUACUGGCAGACUAGAGUAUGAUAGAGGGGGGUAGAAUUCCUGGUGUAGCGGUGAAAUGCGUAGAUAUCAGGAGGAAUACCAGUGGCGAAGGCGGCCCCCUGGAUCAAUACUGACGCUGAGGUACGAAAGCGUGGGGAGCGAACAGGAUUAGAUACCCUAGUAGUCC
This 274-nucleotide ribosomal RNA is filed under the name uncultured bacterium. RNAcentral's name for it is "partial 16S ribosomal RNA". It matches the Rfam family "Bacterial small subunit ribosomal RNA", at positions 523 to 796 of the family's 1533-position model. The record is from RNAcentral.